RNAcentral lists this ribosomal RNA (440 nucleotides) under uncultured bacterium. RNAcentral's name for it is "partial 16S ribosomal RNA". It matches the Rfam family "Bacterial small subunit ribosomal RNA", at positions 338 to 795 of the family's 1533-position model. The record is from RNAcentral.
CCUACGGGAGGCAGCAGUAGGGAAUAUUGCUCAAUGGGGGAAACCCUGAAGCAGCAACGCCGCGUGGAGGAUGAAGGUUUUAGGAUUGUAAACCUCUUUUGGGAGAGAAGAAAAUGACGGUAUGUCACGAAUAAGCAACGGACAACUCCGAGCCAGCAGCCGCGGUAAUACGGAGGGUGCAAGCGUUACUCGGAAUCACUGGGCGUAAAGGGUGCGGAGGCGGGCUUGUAAGUCAGAUGUGAAAUCCUGAAGCUUAACUACAGAACUGCAUUUGAAACUGUGAGUCUAGAGUGUGGGAGAGGUAGGUGGAAUUCUUGGUGUAGCGGUAAAAUCCGUAGAUAUCAAGCGGAAUACUCAUUGCGAAGGCGACCUACUGGAACAUUACUGACGCUCAUGCACGAAAGCGUGGGGAGCAAACAGGAUUAGAUACCCUUGUAGUC